RNAcentral lists this ribosomal RNA (231 nucleotides) under Triticum aestivum (bread wheat). Its description in RNAcentral is "partial small subunit ribosomal RNA". Lineage: Eukaryota; Viridiplantae; Streptophyta; Magnoliopsida; Poales; Poaceae. The record is from RNAcentral.
AUGGCUCCUACCAAGGCUGAGGCUGAUGUAGAGGAGGGAGAAGAGAAGAAGAAGAGGGAAAGGAAAGCAGCUGGAGCUGCUUUCACGUGGAUUCAAAAUAACUUUGCGACGUGCCCUCCGGAUGCCAGUGAUGAUGUGAUCCAGACACAUGCUCGUGUGUAUAUGUGGUAUGUUGUGUCGAGGACUUUGUUUACUGACUCCACUGGCAAGAACGCUCAUGGAUGUGGCUAA